CCUACGGGUGGCAGCAGUGAGGAAUAUUGGUCAAUGGCCGAGAGUCUGAACCAGCCAAGUCGCGUGCAGGAAGACGGCUCUAUGGGUUGUAAACUUCUUUUGUACAAGGGUAAACCUAACUACGUGUGGUCAACUGAGAGUACUCGAAGAAUAAGCAUCGGCUAACUCCGUGCCAGCAGCCGCGGUAAUACGGAGGAUUCGAGCGUUAUCCGGAUUUAUUGGGUUUAAAGGGUGCGGAGGCGGAGGGAUAAGUUAGAGGUUAAAUGUCCGGGCCUAACUCGGGAACUGCCUCUAAUACUGCUGCCCUUGAGAGCAGGUGCGGUAUGCGGAAUGCAUGGUGUAGCGGUGAAAUGCUUAGAGAUCAUACAGAACACCGAUUGCGAAGGCAGCAUACC
This 395-nucleotide ribosomal RNA is filed under the name uncultured bacterium. RNAcentral describes it as "partial 16S ribosomal RNA". It matches the Rfam family "Bacterial small subunit ribosomal RNA", at positions 338 to 730 of the family's 1533-position model. The record is from RNAcentral.